This 491-nucleotide ribosomal RNA is filed under the name uncultured Acholeplasma sp. RNAcentral's name for it is "bacterial SSU rRNA". It matches the Rfam family "Bacterial small subunit ribosomal RNA", at positions 903 to 1382 of the family's 1533-position model. The record is from RNAcentral. Lineage: Bacteria; Bacillati; Mycoplasmatota; Mollicutes; Acholeplasmatales; Acholeplasmataceae.
CCAGCCCGCUCAGAACUUAAAUGAAUUGACGGGACCCGCACAAGCGGUGGAUCAUGUUGUUUAAUUCGAUGAUACGCGAAGAACCUUACCAGGUCUUGACAUCCCCCGCGAUGCUUUAGAGAUAAAGCGGAGGUAUUCGGGGAGACAGGUGGUGCAUGGUUGUCGUCAGCUCGUGUCGUGAGAUGUUGGGUUAAGUCCCGCAACGAGCGCAACCCCUAUUGCUAGUUACCAUCAUUAAGUUGGGGACUCUAGCGAGACUGCCAGUGAUAAACUGGAGGAAGGUGGGGAUGACGUCAAAUCAUCAUGCCCCUUAUGACCUGGGCUACAAACGUGAUACAAUGGCUGGAACAAAGGGAUGCGAAGCAGUGAUGUGGAGCGAAACCCAUAAAAACAGUCUCAGUUCGGAUUGAAGUCUGCAACUCGACUUCAUGAAGUCGGAAUCGCUAGUAAUCGCGGAUCAGAACGCCGCGGUGAAUACGUCCUCGGGGUUU